RNAcentral lists this ribosomal RNA (330 nucleotides) under uncultured eukaryote. Its description in RNAcentral is "partial 18S ribosomal RNA". It matches the Rfam family "Eukaryotic small subunit ribosomal RNA", at positions 1470 to 1796 of the family's 1831-position model. The record is from RNAcentral.
CCCUUAGAUGUUCUGGGCCGCACGCGCGCUACACUGAUGCAUUCAACGAGUUUCUUCCUGGUCCGAGAGGAAUGGGUAACCUUUUGAAAGUGCAUCGUGAUAGGGAUAGACUAUUGCAAUUAUUGGUCUUCAACGAGGAAUUCCUAGUAGACGUAGUUCAUCAGACUGCAUCGAUUACGUCCCUGCCCUUUGUACACACCGCCCGUCGCUACUACCGAUUGAAUGGUUUAGUGAGGACUCCUGAUUGGCGCCGCCGCCCCGGCAACGGAGCAGCGGACUGCCGAAAAGUUGCUCAAACUUGAUCAUUUAGAGGAAGUAAAAGUCGUAACA